UAGUGCUAAUUAUUCCAACCC
Molecule: non-coding RNA, 21 nt
Organism: Caenorhabditis elegans
Lineage: Eukaryota; Metazoa; Nematoda; Chromadorea; Rhabditida; Rhabditidae
Source: Ensembl